RNAcentral lists this ribosomal RNA (253 nucleotides) under uncultured bacterium. RNAcentral's name for it is "partial 16S ribosomal RNA". It matches the Rfam family "Bacterial small subunit ribosomal RNA", at positions 524 to 776 of the family's 1533-position model. The record is from RNAcentral.
GACGUAGGGUGCGAGCGUUGUCCGGAUUUAUUGGGCGUAAAGAGCUCGUAGGCGGCUCGUCGCGUCGACCGUGAAAACCCACAGCUUAACUGUGGGCUUGCGGUUGAUACGGGCGGGCUAGAGUUCGGUAGGGGAGACUGGAAUUCCUGGUGUAGCGGUGAAAUGCGCAGAUAUCAGGAAGAACACCGAUGGCGAAGGCAGCUCUCUGGGACGGUACUGACGCUGAGACGCGAAAGCGUGGGGAGCGAACAGG